RNAcentral lists this ribosomal RNA (253 nucleotides) under uncultured bacterium. RNAcentral's name for it is "partial 16S ribosomal RNA". It matches the Rfam family "Bacterial small subunit ribosomal RNA", at positions 524 to 776 of the family's 1533-position model. The record is from RNAcentral.
GACAGAGGCCUCGAGCGUUAGGCGGAAUCACUGGGCUUAAAGCGUGUGUAGGCGGGGCCGUAAGUGUCUUGUGAAAUCCCACGGCUCAACCGUGGAACUGCUGGGCAUACUGCGGGUCUUGGGCCAACUAGGGGCAGCCGGAACAAACGGUGGAGCGGUGAAAUGCGUAGAUAUCGUUUGGAACGCCAAUGGUGAACACGGGUUGCUGGGAGUGUGCUGACGCUGAGACACGAAAGCCAGGGGAGCAAACGGG